Unclassified non-coding RNA from Macaca mulatta (Rhesus monkey), 154 nucleotides. It matches the Rfam family "Metazoan signal recognition particle RNA". Rfam says of the family: The signal recognition particle (SRP) is a universally conserved ribonucleoprotein. The record is from Ensembl. NCBI's taxonomy places the organism in Eukaryota, Metazoa, Chordata, Mammalia, Primates, Cercopithecidae.
GCCAGGCAUGGUGGCGUGUGCCUGUAAUCCCAGCUACUUGGGAGGCUGAGGCGGGAGAAUCGCUUGAACCAGGGAGUUGGGAGUUGGAGGUUGCUGUGAGCCGAGAUGACACCUCAGCACUCCAUCCUGGCGACAGAGCGAGACCCCAUCUCAA